GACGAACGCUGGCGGCGUGCUUAACACAUGCAAGUCGAACGGGAAGGCCCUGCUUUUGUGGGGUGCUCGAGUGGCGAACGGGUGAGUAACACGUGAGUAACCUGCCCUUGACUUUGGGAUAACUUCAGGAAACUGGGGCUAAUACCGGAUAGGAGCUCCUGCUGCAUGGUGGGGGUUGGAACGUUUCGGCGGUUGGGGAUGGACUCGCGGCUUAUCAGCUUGUUGGUGGGGUAGUGGCUUACCAAGGCUUUGACGGGUAGGCGGCCUGAGAGGGUGACCGGCCACAUGGGGACUGAGAUACGGCCCAGACUCCUACGGGAGGCAGCAGUGGGGAAUAUUGCACAAUGGGCGGAAGCCUGAUGCAGCAACGCCGCGUGCGGGAUGACGGCCUUCGGGUUGUAAACCGCUUUCGCCUGUGACGAAGCGUGAGUGACGGUAAUGGGUAAAGAAGCACCGGCUAACUACGUG
RNAcentral lists this ribosomal RNA (468 nucleotides) under uncultured bacterium. Its description in RNAcentral is "partial 16S ribosomal RNA". It matches the Rfam family "Bacterial small subunit ribosomal RNA", at positions 28 to 507 of the family's 1533-position model. The record is from RNAcentral.